CCCAUGAAAAGCGUUGCUUAUGGAUUUCCAGAAACGGUGUGAGUAGUAUCAAAGGCUUGAUGAAAACGCCCCCACCACGCCCCCUUUCCACAAAACAUCUAAAAUGAGCGUUCAGUCAUACUCCUGCACAGAGCCUGAUUCUCUUUGGUAUAAAUCAAGCCAGUAGCUGCAAUUAAAAGGAACUAUAUAGCAAGCUACAUCCUUACACAUUGCAGAAUUUUAGUGAAACAGAAAGAUCAGUUUCCACACGCUGCCGAGUAGUUUUGCAAGCCUUUCAAACAAGUUACAUCACUGCUGUGCAAUGAGCUCCUACAAGAGGAUCGUUAUUCUGGGAGGCUGUGGUCACUGAGCUGCGGAAGAGAAAUCCAUAUGGGCCACAGACACGUCUGCCGAUUGCUUUCUGAACCCUAGAUCACACGUCUUCCCAGCUCAUCCCACAGAUCUGGAGUUUGGGGCACCCAUGGCUCGACUGUCACAUUUCCAUCCCUAGAGAAAGUGAUUGUUACGUCAGAAGCUGCAAGACGUGCAUUGUUCUGUUGGAAAGUUGUUGUGUCAGGUCCCAGAACUUGAGCAGUAUAGGGCCCUGCAGCAAGGUGGCCAUCAAUCACUACAAGUGUAGGUUUGUUGUGACUACAGUAAAUUGUCCAUACCAGACCAUCACGUUUGGACCUCCCCGUCUGAUUGGUGUGUUGUACAUAGCAAUUAGCAUAUCUUCCUGCCUGUUUUCACCACACUCACAGACAUCCAUUAGAGGCUCAAUGCAAAACCUUGAAUUGUUGCUGAAGAGGACUUUACUGCCUGGCUGGAGGGUCCAGCUGAGGUGACUGGCUCCAGCCUCCAACAUAACAAAGGCACUAAGAUGCCUUUCAUGAAAGACAGGGUACCUGUAUAUUGACUUCCUCUGAUGUUUUCCUUCCUGAUUUUUUUAGCAGAUUUGACAUCCAUCAUCUUAUAUCUCAUCUUUGCUCAAUAAUCUCUCAUUUAGGAGGUGAUUUAGUACUCAUGCAACAGUCACUCAAAUGUAUCAUGGUCACUCACACUUGUGUUGCUAAAAACAUUUAAUUAAUAGACAUCUAUAAAUCGGUAUAUUUUUCUGAGUAACAAGCUUGCAUAGAGUGAUGUUUAUUUGAACCCUGAGAACCUGAGGAUCUCCCUGAUGAAUGCAUCUUGUUUUUUUGUUUUUGGUUCCAUGUACAACUGUGGUCAACACUUGUCAGUCAUAUUACAAGUUGCAGUUUAAUUGGAAAUGGAUCAUAGUUUUAUGCACUGCCCUAUCAGCCAAAUCAUGAGCCAUUUUGAAUUUGUAGAAUUUCUAGGUCAAUACUUAAACACUUAAAACACAUAUUAAAUAUAAAACCCAGUUAAAUAUUGCAAAAAUACUCUUAUUUGUGGGGGGGAAAAAAAAUCAAGCUUUCA
Lepisosteus oculatus (spotted gar) is the source of this 1416-nucleotide non-coding RNA. The record is from RefSeq and is a predicted model, not a curated record. Lineage: Eukaryota; Metazoa; Chordata; Actinopteri; Semionotiformes; Lepisosteidae.